GCAAGAAGAAAUCAAACUUCACAAGAAGUUGAGGAUUUGAAAAAAGGAUGGCAUUCAUGUUUUGAAUUCCUGGAUUAAUGGCUCUGGAUGGAGUCCAUUUAAGAUUAAGACAGUAGCCAAGAGCCGUCCUUCCAGCCCCACACUGUGCAGACCUGGGAGAAAGGAGGAAGUGGUCCUCAUCCUAAGGAAUUUAAACUGUGAGAAAAGUGGUGAUGAGAUACAAGUCAUGCUAAUUUCAAGUGUUAAUGAAGCAGAAUCCAUCCCGAUGUGAAGCCUCUGAAGAGGGAUGCUGCAUCUUCGACGGAAGGUGUUAUGAGUGCAGAUUAGUUAGACAAGUGCUGGAGUGAAUGCAUAAGCAGUGAUUUUGCAUAAUGAGGUAUAGCCCUUAGAUACCCAAGGGCAGUAUGGACACAACUUAAA
This 420-nucleotide long non-coding RNA is filed under the name Gallus gallus (chicken). Its description in RNAcentral is "long non-coding RNA NONGGAT003400". The record is from RNAcentral. Lineage: Eukaryota; Metazoa; Chordata; Aves; Galliformes; Phasianidae.